Molecule: unclassified non-coding RNA, 381 nt
Filed under: soil metagenome
Description: partial contains 5.8S ribosomal RNA, internal transcribed spacer 2, and large subunit ribosomal RNA
Rfam family: 5.8S ribosomal RNA (bases 1-120)
Source: RNAcentral
GAUGAAGAACGUAGCGAAAUGCGAUAAGUAAUGUGAAUUGCAGAAUUCAGCGAAUCAUCGAAUCUUUGAACGCACCUUGCGCUCCUUGGUAUUCCGAGGAGCAUGCCUGUUUGAGUGUCAUUAAUAUAUCAACCUCUUCAGCUUAUGCUUGUUGAGUGUUGGAUGGUGGGGGUUUGCUGGUGUCUUAUGAAGUCAGCUCCUCUGAAAUGCAUUAGCGGAACAAUUUGUUGACCGUUCAUUGGUGUGAUAAAAAUAUCUACGCUAUUGACGUCAGUCAGUUCAGCUUCUAACAGUCCAUUGACUUGGACAAAUUUUUCAUUAAUGUGACCUCAAAUCAGGUAGGACUACCCGCUGAACUUAAGCAUAUCAAUAAGCGGAGGA